RNAcentral lists this transfer RNA (66 nucleotides) under Yersinia mexicana. RNAcentral describes it as "tRNA-His". Lineage: Eukaryota; Metazoa; Arthropoda; Insecta; Mantodea; Amelidae. The record is from RNAcentral.
GCUUAAGUAGUUUAAUUUAAAAUCAUGGUUUGUGGUGUCAUAGAUGUAAAGUUUUUAUCUUAGGCU